UCUCCGUUGGUGAACCAGCGGAGGGAUCAUUACAGGGCUCGCAAGACUCCUACAACCCUGUGAACUUAACUAUAAGCACGUUGCUUCGGCGGGUGUCUCGGAGGGGGUUCUCCCUCCCCGAGGCGCUAAACCCGUCGGCAGCCUACUAUACUCUGUCUCUUUGCGUUGGCAUCUCGAGUACAAUCAAACAAGUUAAAACUUUCAACAACGGAUCUCUUGGUUCUG
This 225-nucleotide unclassified non-coding RNA is filed under the name plant metagenome. RNAcentral describes it as "partial contains small subunit ribosomal RNA, internal transcribed spacer 1, and 5.8S ribosomal RNA". The record is from RNAcentral.